This 599-nucleotide ribosomal RNA is filed under the name Colletotrichum gloeosporioides. Its description in RNAcentral is "eukaryotic LSU rRNA". The stretch from base 227 to 380 matches the Rfam family "5.8S ribosomal RNA". The record is from RNAcentral. Lineage: Eukaryota; Fungi; Ascomycota; Sordariomycetes; Glomerellales; Glomerellaceae.
GGAAGUAAAAGUCGUAACAAGGUCUCCGUUGGUGAACCAGCGGAGGGAUCAUUACUGAGUUUACGCUCUAUAACCCUUUGUGAACAUACCUAUAACUGUUGCUUCGGCGGGUAGGGUCUCCGUGACCCUCCCGGCCUCCCGCCCCCGGGCGGGUCGGCGCCCGCCGGAGGAUAACCAAACUCUGAUUUAACGACGUUUCUUCUGAGUGGUACAAGCAAAUAAUCAAAACUUUUAACAACGGAUCUCUUGGUUCUGGCAUCGAUGAAGAACGCAGCGAAAUGCGAUAAGUAAUGUGAAUUGCAGAAUUCAGUGAAUCAUCGAAUCUUUGAACGCACAUUGCGCCCGCCAGCAUUCUGGCGGGCAUGCCUGUUCGAGCGUCAUUUCAACCCUCAAGCUCUGCUUGGUGUUGGGGCCCUACAGCUGAUGUAGGCCCUCAAAGGUAGUGGCGGACCCUCCCGGAGCCUCCUUUGCGUAGUAACUUUACGUCUCGCACUGGGAUCCGGAGGGACUCUUGCCGUAAAACCCCCCAAUUUUCCAAAGGUUGACCUCGGAUCAGGUAGGAAUACCCGCUGAACUUAAGCAUAUCAAUAAGCGGAGGA